Molecule: long non-coding RNA, 1930 nt
Organism: Cyprinus carpio carpio
Lineage: Eukaryota; Metazoa; Chordata; Actinopteri; Cypriniformes; Cyprinidae
Source: Ensembl
AUGAUGUCAUACUUGUGGAUUUUCGUCCUUGGAAGUUUAAUCGUGACUGGAGUGAAGAUGCAAGACGAUGGAGUGGAAGGCGCAGACAAUGCCGAUUCUCCGGCAGAUGAGCUCGCUCCAGAGGACUCAACCGUUCCUGCUGAAGCUGCAGACGCUGAAGAACCAGCUAAAGAACCAUCACCUGAAGAAACAUCACCUGGAGAAAUAUCACCUGAAGAAACACCUGAAGACCCAGCGGAGGAUGCUGUGGAUGAGGCAGCAGCUACUGCAGAGCCUGAAGACACCAACCCUGAGUCAGACGCUGCGAUAGAAGAGGCUGAAGAAACACCAGCAGCUGAAGAGAAACCUGCUGAAGCAGAAGCAGAAGAAGCAGCGGCUCCUGAAGCAGAUGACGCCGAUGCAACUAAAACAGAAGCCGAUCCACCUGCUGAAGAUCCUGAACAAGAAAUCAAGCCCGAAGAAGCUCCAGAUGAUGCAGAAACAGAGGAAGCACAAGAGGAAGCAGAAGGAGGGGAAGCAGAAGCAGGUGCAGAGACUGAAGCAGACUUUACUGCUGUACCAGAGGAACCUGUGGACCCUGAAGGGGCUGUGGAAGAUAUGUCUGCAGAAUUCGAUCUUUCUGAUGCGUUCGAAGAGAAAGCACAACCACAGGAUCCAGUAAAGACAAAAAUGGGAGAUGCAGACCAGCACAGCGCAGGUCAAGGCAGAGCUCGCAGUGCUGGAGCAGUUUCUGAGCCGAACGACAGUGGAUCUGGUACGGUUGUUGGUGUUGUUUGUGGGAUUGCAGUAGCAGCUGUUGGUGCCAUAAUCGGAUACUUCACCUACCAGAAGAAGAAACUGUGCUUCAAGGUCCAGAGAGGUGAUCCAGAGAGUGCCAAAGAAGAGAACGGCACACAGAACCCUGAGGUUUUAAGCACCCUCCUGAAGUCAUCUGAACACGCCCCUGCAGCCGGCAGUGAACUUGCGUGAAGCUACUGUGAACUGCUUUACAUGGGAGCAGGACGUUGUAACUACCCACAUCUUGAGAACCGGAUGAACUUCACAAACACAUUCACAGUACAGAAAGUCAGCACAAAUAUCAUUUCUACACUCACUCUGAGUUCCUGACGCACAUUAAGUCCUUUUUCAUAAUAUCUCAUCUUCCUACUGCUUCGACUACAGUUCUAAACUAGCACAUAGGACUGUUAAUAAUACAUGUUUUGAAUGUAAUUUCACAUCGUUUGAGUGGAACGGGAUGUGUGCGUGUAUGCAUGUGUAAUUCGACAGCCUUUUGGUAGAGGCAUUUCAUUUCGUUACUUUAAAAAAUGUCGUUUGGUUUCAUUACUGUGUCAUUGAUCGCAGUUUUGUUUGAUGUCAAAUUGUUGCCUCUGAUUCAUAAAAGAGCAAAUCUCACAAUGUGGAAUGAUUCAAAUUGUAUUGUCUGACCAAACAGAAUUCAUAGGAAUUUUUCUUUCUAUUUUUUGUUUUGUUUUAAAAUUCUGUAAAUAAUUGUUGCGUUUGAAUAAAGAGUGGUUACAUUUAAAAGACGUUACACAUUUAAUUGCACAGUUUCAUAAUGCAACGAAAAAAAAAAAACAGAAUUGCAAAUAAAUUAAACAAGCUAAUCAUGCUAGAACCAUGCUAACAAGAUGGUAGCAAAAUGCUAAUCAUGCUAGAAACAUGCUAGCAUCAAUAUAUCUAUUCUAUCUAUCUAAAUUUUCCAACUUCAAUCUUUUACAACUGCUUUAAACUUUCAGGCUUGAUUUUCUCAAGCCAACCUAAAGUUUGUCUUCAUGGAUUUGUAGUUUUAGCUGUACAUAAUCAAACAAUAUAAUAUAUAUUGAAUAUGAAUGUACAUAAAUAUAUAAUAAUGCUAUUAAUAAUACUAAUAAUAAUAACAAUAAUUUACAUUGUGAUAUAAUACAAAUUAUAUUAUUCCAUGAUACAGCGC